UGUGUGUGUGUGUGUGUGUGUGUGUGUGUGUAUAUGACAAGGCACAAAUAAUGGUCAUUACAUAUUUUUCUUUUCUUUAUUGUAGUAAAUCUGACUUGCAGCUGUUUCUAGUAGUCGUUAUAGGUUCGUUAUUGAUUGGUUUACUCAAUCAGCCCAUUGAUUGGUUGAGAAAAAUAGAAUGACCUAGAGAAUUAAUGUUGCUUUCGUCA
Octopus sinensis (East Asian common octopus) is the source of this 209-nucleotide long non-coding RNA. RefSeq lists it as uncharacterized. The record is from RefSeq and is a predicted model, not a curated record. The transcript is spliced from 3 exons. NCBI's taxonomy places the organism in Eukaryota, Metazoa, Mollusca, Cephalopoda, Octopoda, Octopodidae.